AACGAACGCUGGCGGCAGGCUUAACACAUGCAAGUCGAGCGCCCCGCAAGGGGAGCGGCAGACGGGUGAGUAACGCGUGGGAAUCUACCUUUUGCUACGGAAUAACGCAGGGAAACUUGUGCUCAUACCGUAUGUGCCCUCCGGGGGAAAGAUUUAUCGGCAAAGGAUGAGCCCGCGUUGGAUUAGCUAGUUGGUGGGGUAAAGGCCUACCAAGGCGACGAUCCAUAGCUGGUCUGAGAGGAUGAUCAGCCACAUUGGGACUGAGACACGGCCCAAACUCCUACGGGAGGCAGCAGUGGGGAAUAUUGGACAAUGGGCGCAAGCCUGAUCCAGCCAUGCCGCGUGAGUGAUGAAGGCCUUAGGGUUGUAAAGCUCUUUCACCGGUGAAGAUAAUGACGGUAACCGGAGAAGAAGCCCCGGCUAACUUCGUGCCAGCAGCCGCGGUAA
RNAcentral lists this ribosomal RNA (447 nucleotides) under uncultured bacterium. RNAcentral describes it as "partial 16S ribosomal RNA". It matches the Rfam family "Bacterial small subunit ribosomal RNA", at positions 29 to 523 of the family's 1533-position model. The record is from RNAcentral.